GUGUUGGAGCAGGAGGGCCGGCGUGCCCCGGUGGAUCCCCACGAGGUGGCAGCAUGGGCUAACGCUGGCCGCGCUCGCUCGCCCGCCGGCGGCAGCGGCGCCGCGGCUGCGCUGCGGGAGAAGCGCCGCGACUGAGGGGUGCUGCUGAGCAGGCUGACGGCUUGGGUCACACUUGUCAGGCUGAAACAAUGCGUGGAAGCUCUUCGCUGUAACUUGCCUAUGUUCCAGGAAUCACUGGAGUUCUAAACGGAAAAUGUGAAACCUGUUCUUCUAAACUGAACAACAUACACAGCCAGAUUGGAGUGCUAGAGCAGUGGCCGGAACGAGGAGAAGAAUAAAUCCAAAGUUUUCAAGCAGACUUCAAUUAAAAGUAUGGAAAAUACUAGAAUAUAAGCAGAAAUGCUAGAAAUUUUUCAGAGUAUGUUUUUAUGUAUUUUAAAAGCACUGCUCAGUUACAUUCCAGGCAAAGUUGAUCAGUUCAUCCCUGGUCAGUUGUUUUCAGUCCUUCCAAGCAAGUCAUAGGUCUAAGAGUUCUGGAUACAUGUUUAGAAAUUCAAAUCAAGUUGUUUUCCUGGAGUUGCUGAUGAGUCCAGGAAAGGACCCACACAUUGGUUUGAAAGUACAGUUUUGUGUGUGGGUUUGUUGGGGUUUUUUUUUUUCCAGGUGCUUUUGAAAACCAUCCAUCUCAGAUGUGGUUCUGCAUGGAGUUUGCAGUUGAGGAAUGCCAUUAGGAAUGAGAUACGGGCUUUGAGAAAACAGUCACAGAACACCUAAAUCUUCCAGAGAAGAGGAAUUUAUGGUUCUCUUAUCAGAAGAAGCUAAUUUCUUCAGGCCUUGCUCAGACUCAAAGACGUGAUGGGGAUUAAAAGAAAUAGUUGACAUAUAGCAGACAGAGGUUCUUGUUUUAAAUAGAAUGUAUGCAUAACCAUGAAGGAUGUAUGAAUAUGCAACAGUGUAUGAUUUUUUAAGGGUGAUUCCUUUGUUCACAAAACAUGCUUUUUGUGACUUA
This is a long non-coding RNA of Taeniopygia guttata (zebra finch), 1009 nucleotides long. RefSeq lists it as uncharacterized. The record is from RefSeq and is a predicted model, not a curated record. Lineage: Eukaryota; Metazoa; Chordata; Aves; Passeriformes; Estrildidae.